This 330-nucleotide ribosomal RNA is filed under the name uncultured bacterium. RNAcentral's name for it is "bacterial SSU rRNA". It matches the Rfam family "Bacterial small subunit ribosomal RNA", at positions 568 to 898 of the family's 1533-position model. The record is from RNAcentral.
UAUGUAGGCGGUUGCGUAAGUUCGGUGUGAAAUCUCCCGGCUUAACUGGGAGGGUGCGCCGAAAACUGCGUGGCUCGAGUGCGGGAGAGGAGAGCGGAAUUCCUGGUGUAGCGGUGAAAUGCGUAGAUAUCAGGAGGAACACCGGCGGUGUAGACGGCUCUCUGGACCGUUACUGACGCUGAGAUACGAAAGCGUGGGUAGCAAACAGGAUUAGAUACCCUGGUAGUCCACGCCCUAAACGAUGCACACUUGGUGUGAGCAGUUCAUUCUGUUCGUGCCGGAGCUAACGCGUUAAGUGUGCCGCCUGGGGAGUACGGUCGCAAGGCUGAA